This 508-nucleotide ribosomal RNA is filed under the name uncultured bacterium. RNAcentral describes it as "partial 16S ribosomal RNA". It matches the Rfam family "Bacterial small subunit ribosomal RNA", at positions 28 to 507 of the family's 1533-position model. The record is from RNAcentral.
GACGAACGCUGGCGGCGUGCCUAAUACAUGCAAGUCGAACGCUUCUUUCCUCCCGAGUGCUUGCACUCAAAUGGAAAGAGGAGUGGCGGACGGGUGAGUAACACGUGGGUAACCUACCCAUCAGAGGGGGAUAACACUUGGAAACAGGUGCUAAUACCGCAUAACAGUUUAUGCCGCAUGGCAUAAGAGUGAAAGGCGCUUUCGGGUGUCGUUGAUGGAUGGACCCGCGGUGCAUUAGCUAGUUGGUGAGGUAACGGCUCACCAAGGCCACGAUGCAUAGCCGACCUGAGAGGGUGAUCGGCCACACUGGGACUGAGACACGGCCCAGACUCCUACGGGAGGCAGCAGUAGGGAAUCUUCGGCAAUGGACGAAAGUCUGACCGAGCAACGCCGCGUGAGUGAAGAAGGUUUUCGGAUCGUAAAACUCUGUUGUUAGAGAAGAACAAGGACGUUAGUAACUGAACGUCCCCUGACGGUAUCUAACCAGAAAGCCACGGCUAACUACGUG